Molecule: long non-coding RNA, 268 nt
Organism: Poeciliopsis prolifica (blackstripe livebearer)
Lineage: Eukaryota; Metazoa; Chordata; Actinopteri; Cyprinodontiformes; Poeciliidae
Exons: 3
Source: RefSeq, a predicted model, not a curated record
UUGGAUCAGCAUUUCUCUGUUCGCAGUGGACGGUGGUUGUUUGCAGCUUCCGGUAACCUUCAUAGCAUCAAACUAGCACGUUGCGUACCGAAAAACGCCUGCACCACUGAGUCCAAAACUGAAGCCUGAUUGUGUCAGCAGGUUUUCUCCGUAUCAUGUUCCAUCUCCUUCAAUUACACUCAACGUACACAGAAGCAUGCAGGGUGACACAUGGGUCCUAGAAGAAACCUGAUCGCUGAACAAUAUGAAGUUAUGCAAAGAAUAAAUC